RNAcentral lists this transfer RNA (62 nucleotides) under Dibolia occultans. RNAcentral's name for it is "tRNA-His". Lineage: Eukaryota; Metazoa; Arthropoda; Insecta; Coleoptera; Chrysomelidae. The record is from RNAcentral.
AUCUAAAUAGUUUAAUAAAAAUAUUGAUUUGUGGUAUCAAAGUUAUAGAAUUAUUUUAGAUU